AGCAGCCGCGGUAAUUCCAGCUCCAAUAGCGUAUAUUAAAGUUGCUGCAGUUAAAAACUACGUAGUUGAAUUUCGGGAUCAUCAUGUCGGUCGUGCCUCGGUACGUACUGGCAUUGUUGGUUUCUACCUUCUGACGAACCAUGAUGUCAUUUAUUUGGUGUCGUGGGAAAUCAGGACUGUUACUUUGAAAAAUUAGAGUGUUUAAAGCAGGCUCACGCUUGAAUACAUUAGCAUGGAAUAAUGAAAUAGGACGUUUGAUUCUAUUUUGUUGGUUUCUAGGAUCGACGUAAUGAUUAAUAGGGAUAGUUGGGGGCAGUUAGUAUUCAAUUGUUAGAGGUGAAAUUCUUGGAUUUUAUUGAAGUACUAACUACUGCGAAAGCAUUUGCCAAGGAUGUUU
This 397-nucleotide ribosomal RNA is filed under the name uncultured Glomeromycotina. RNAcentral describes it as "SSU rRNA". It matches the Rfam family "Eukaryotic small subunit ribosomal RNA", at positions 569 to 969 of the family's 1831-position model. The record is from RNAcentral. Lineage: Eukaryota; Fungi; Glomeromycota.